This is a long non-coding RNA of Notothenia coriiceps (black rockcod), 1114 nucleotides long. RefSeq lists it as uncharacterized. The record is from RefSeq and is a predicted model, not a curated record. NCBI's taxonomy places the organism in Eukaryota, Metazoa, Chordata, Actinopteri, Perciformes, Nototheniidae. The transcript has 2 exons.
CUGGGAUUUGCCUCCAGUCACAUGUGACAACAGGGGGAUGGCUAUUGAAUAACUGUCCUCCAUGUGUCCUUGGAGACCUUCCGACAAGUCAAACAGUUACGAAGGGGUUUAAAGGGGCACUGAUCUGGCCUCUGCUAACGGAGAGGAACGACACGAUUCCUUCUCUUUCCAAAGAGCAUCUGGAUUUGCAGUGCCCCAGGGUAAGUGUCUCAUGCUUGCUCAGUCAAAUCCUUCUCCUAACACACAGAGUUAGAGAUUGGGUUUAUUUUCUUACUCUCAGGCCUCCAUUGCUUUAAGUUUUUAUAACAAAACAUACCUACGCAAACAUAUUUUUAAGACAUUAUGCUACUUGCUCCCUUAAAAGGAGCUAAACCAAUAGAAAAACGGUAUCUUGUAGGACUCUUCUGCUACACAUGCAAAACCUGCCAGUUCUUGUAUGUUCUGUUUUUUGGCUUUCACUGGGGCUCGCUUUCAACUACAAUCUGUCCAGAUGCGGUCCUUGGAGAACUAAACUGGCCCACACAGGAUGAGGAUGAAGACAGUGAUGUCUCUAUUGGAGGAUUCCUGUAGGAUCACAGGAUUCCAUGCGCACUUUUAUUGAGAUGGGUAAAACAACGUCUUCAAGCUUUGUUUACUGAAGUUUGUACUCUAAUUAUUAUAACGAAGGCUGCGCUUCCUCUGUUUUUAUGUUUACCGUGGUUUUCAGCUACAGUAACAUCCAAGGCGUUAAUUUUCAAGUAACAUUAUUGUGUUUAACUAUUAACUGAAAGCAAUUAUAAUAAAAGAAUUUUUCUUGUUUAACUCUCCCCAUUCCUUGGGAACUUGUGCAGUUCUGGAGUUGGAUGGAUGUGCUUCCUAAUAUGCCUGGAUGUGACCGUGGUUUAGAGCAACUUCCCAAGCUCUCCACAUGCCUUUCACAGCUGAAACUUCCAAGACAUUACAAAGAGUACUGUCCGUUUUGAAAGGGCAUUCUUGCUCUAUUUGGAGCACUGAAAACUGGGUUCGGAAAAUGGGGGGGGGGUUUUUUUUCUGAAGAGGACAGACACCCCUUAGUACUUGUGUAGGAUGUGUUGGUCUUUUGUUUGGCGGCCAAAAAUGUAUGUUUUUCAGAGAG